This 557-nucleotide ribosomal RNA is filed under the name Mesorhizobium sp. StRD659. RNAcentral describes it as "bacterial SSU rRNA". It matches the Rfam family "Bacterial small subunit ribosomal RNA", at positions 102 to 694 of the family's 1533-position model. Lineage: Bacteria; Pseudomonadati; Pseudomonadota; Alphaproteobacteria; Hyphomicrobiales; Phyllobacteriaceae. The record is from RNAcentral.
ACGGGUGAGUAACGCGUGGGAAUCUACCCAUCUCUACGGAACAACUCCGGGAAACUGGAGCUAAUACCGUAUACGUCCUUCGGGAGAAAGAUUUAUCGGAGAUGGAUGACCCCGCGUUGGAUUAGCUAGUUGGUGGGGUAAUGGCCUACCAAGGCGACGAUCCAUAGCUGGUCUGAGAGGAUGAUCAGCCACACUGGGACUGAGACACGGCCCAGACUCCUACGGGAGGCAGCAGUGGGGAAUAUUGGACAAUGGGCGAAAGCCUGAUCCAGCCAUGCCGCGUGAGUGAUGAAGGCCCUAGGGUUGUAAAGCUCUUUCAACGGUGAAGAUAAUGACGGUAACCGUAGAAGAAGCCCCGGCUAACUUCGUGCCAGCAGCCGCGGUAAUACGAAGGGGGCUAGCGUUGUUCGGAAUUACUGGGCGUAAAGCGCACGUAGGCGGAUUGUUAAGUUAGGGGUGAAAUCCCAGGGCUCAACCCUGGAACUGCCUUUAAUACUGGCAAUCUCGAGUCCGAGAGAGGUGAGUGGAAUUCCGAGUGUAGAGGUGAAAUUCGUAGA